UACGGAGGAUGCAAGCGUUAUCCGGAAUGACUGGGCGUAAAGGGUGCGUAGGUGGUUUGGCAAGUUGGUAGCGUAAUCCCGGGGCUCAACCUCGGUGCUACUACCAAAACUGUUGAACUUGAGUGCAGGAGGGGUGAAUGGAAUUCCCAGUGUAGCGGUGGAAUGCGUAGAUAUUGGGAAGAACACCAGCGGCGAAGGCGGUCUGCUGGACAGUAACUGACGGUGAGGCGCGAAAGCGUGGGGAGCAAACAGG
Molecule: ribosomal RNA, 253 nt
Filed under: uncultured Eubacteriales bacterium
Lineage: Bacteria; Bacillati; Bacillota; Clostridia; Eubacteriales
Description: uncultured Clostridiales bacterium partial 16S ribosomal RNA
Rfam family: Bacterial small subunit ribosomal RNA
Source: RNAcentral